GUCUGCACUAUUCCCUACCGAUAAAGCUGGAACGAUACAGAGAAGAUGAGCAUGGCCCCUGCGCAAGGAUGACGCGGACAAAUCGAAAAUUGCACCAAGUGUCA
This 104-nucleotide small nuclear RNA is filed under the name Symbiodinium microadriaticum. The record is from RNAcentral. Lineage: Eukaryota; Dinophyceae; Suessiales; Symbiodiniaceae.